RNAcentral lists this long non-coding RNA (800 nucleotides) under Mustela putorius furo (domestic ferret). RNAcentral's name for it is "lncRNA (ENSMPUG00000025581.1)". The record is from RNAcentral. Lineage: Eukaryota; Metazoa; Chordata; Mammalia; Carnivora; Mustelidae.
ACCCUGAAAAGGCACCCACCACUUUAUAAAUAACGGCGUUGUGCCGGGCGCGGGGGAGGUCGGGGACGGGAGGGCCUGAGUCAGCAGGGAGAAUUUAAAUUGACUUCCUUUUGUAAAUGAUAUUUACAAAUUGCAUCUGCCAAGAGGAAUCUGUUUGUAUAGUGAGUAAUUCCUCCAGCUAAUUCUAAAAUGAGUUUGAGGCCCCUGGGCUGAGCUGCGAAAGCAGCAUUCAGGAAAACUCCAGAGCUAGAGGUACAUCUGAGAGCCUGGCUGGAAUUUUAAAGGUUCUCUUCUUUCAAUUGGUUCUGGAGGCCCCACAAAGAGGCUUUAAGCCUGGGACAGUUGCGUCCCGGUGGCCGGCCCAGUACGCAUCUGCAUAUCUGACAUGCAGAAAGACCUCCUAGACCCAUCUCCAUGAGUCUUCUGGCAAGCCCAGGAGGUAGCAGCCGGGGCUCAGAGAAGGCAGCCACCAUGUUGUCAAGACACUCAAGCAACCUGAGCCCCAUGCAAAGAGAAACUGAGAUUCUCCACCAAUAUUCAGGAUCUGUCCACCAGCCACAUGAAUGAGCCCCUCGGAACAGUAUCCUCCAGCCACAGUCAAGCCCUCGGAUAACACAGCCCCAGUUACAGUCUAGGCUCCUGCAUCGUGACAAAAACCAGCUAAGCCACUUCCAGACUUCUGAUCCACAGAAACUGUGAGUGGUAAUAAAUGUUGAUUGUAGUUUUAAGUCCCUGAACUUUGGGACAAUCUGUUACAUAGCAACAGCUGACAAAUAUAGUAGGUUUGCAAAGGAGCACGU